GAGCGCCGUAGCAAUACGUCAGCGGCAGUACGGGUGAGUAACGCGUGGGAACGUACCUUUUGGUUCGGAACAACCCAGGGAAACUUGUGCUAAUACCGGAUAAGCCCUUACGGGGAAAGAUUUAUCGCCGAAAGAUCGGCCCGCGUCUGAUUAGCUAGUUGGUGAGGUAAUGGCUCACCAAGGCGACGAUCAGUAGCUGGUCUGAGAGGAUGAUCAGCCACAUUGGGACUGAGACACGGCCCAAACUCCUACGGGAGGCAGCAGUGGGGAAUAUUGGACAAUGGGCGCAAGCCUGAUCCAGCCAUGCCGCGUGAGUGAUGAAGGCCCUAGGGUUGUAAAGCUCUUUUGUGCGGGAAGAUAAUGACGGUACCGCAAGAAUAAGCCCCGGCUAACUUCGUG
This 399-nucleotide ribosomal RNA is filed under the name uncultured bacterium. Its description in RNAcentral is "bacterial SSU rRNA". It matches the Rfam family "Bacterial small subunit ribosomal RNA", at positions 64 to 507 of the family's 1533-position model. The record is from RNAcentral.